Molecule: small nuclear RNA, 326 nt
Filed under: Heterocephalus glaber (naked mole-rat)
Lineage: Eukaryota; Metazoa; Chordata; Mammalia; Rodentia; Bathyergidae
Description: 7SK RNA
Rfam family: 7SK RNA
About the family: 7SK was discovered as an abundant small nuclear RNA in the mid-70s but a possible function has only recently been suggested. Two independent studies have found that 7SK RNA binds the CDK9/cyclin T complex (known as elongation factor P-TEFb).
Source: Rfam by way of RNAcentral
AGAUGUGAGGGUGAUCUGGCUGUGACAUCUGUUACCCCAUUGAUCGCCAGAGUUGAUUUGGCUGAUCUGGCUGGCUAGGCGGGUAUCCCCUUCCUCCUCACUCAUCCAUGUGCAACCUUCCCAAAGCUGAGUGCUGGAUGAAAGAGGACAACCACCCUUCAUUGAGGAAGACCGUUUCUGUAGUCAAGGUUAUAUGAUUAGCUGUGCUCCCCUGCUAGACUUUAAACAAGCUCUCAAGUCCAGCCUGGGAAAUUUGGUGAGACCCUCUCUCAAAUACAAAAAUUACAGGCAGGGUGUAGAGGCAGACACCUACAAUCCCAGCACUC